RNAcentral lists this long non-coding RNA (2513 nucleotides) under Sus scrofa (pig). RNAcentral's name for it is "lncRNA (ENSSSCG00035019490.1)". Lineage: Eukaryota; Metazoa; Chordata; Mammalia; Artiodactyla; Suidae. The record is from RNAcentral.
UUUUUUUNGGGUCGCACUCGUGGCACAUGGAGGUUCCCAGGCUAGGGGUCUAAUUGGAGCUGUAGCUGCCGGCCUACACCACAGCCACAGCAACACCAGAUCCAAGCUGCGUCUUCGACCUACACCACAGUUCAUGGCAACACCAGAUCAUUAACCCACUGAGCAAGGCCAGGGAAUCAAACCCGCAACCUCAAGUUACCUAGUAGGAUUCGUUAACCACUGAGCCACAACAGGAACUCCGAGAUGGCUUAUUUUCAAUGAUAACAGUAUAUUGAGUAUCUAUAUACAGGACCUGGAUCUAAGUAUUUUAUGUGUUAUACGACUCAGCCUUCACACAAUCCCAUGCAGCAGGUUCCUUUAUCAACCGUCCCAUUUCAAGGAAGAGAAAUGGCACAAAGAGGUCAGAUCACAUACCAGGAUUCAGACCCAUGAGGUCUGGCUCCAGAGCCUUUACUCUUCAUUCUUUUAAUGUUUUGUUAUAAAAUGUUUCAACCCAUAUCAAAGAGUACAAAAAAUAAUUAUCCCCAUAUACUCACAACCUAAAUUUAAUAAUUAUGAUUUGGUGCCAGACUUGCCUCCUAAUUUUUACAGAACUAUUCUGAAAUGAAUUACAGACAACAUGACAUUUAUUUCACCCACAAAUAAGAUAAAAGGCACCUUUUAUUUUUUUUUAUUUUAUUAUUAUUUUUUUUUUUUUUUGUCUUUUUGCCUUUUUUAGGACCGCACCUGAGGCAUAUGGAGCGGCCCAAGAAAUGGCAAAAAGACAAAAAAAAAAAAAAAAGUUUCCCUCUACCAAAACAUGAAAGGAAAUGCAGAAGAAAGCCAAGAUAGCAGUUCACUUAUCCAGUGCCUCUUUUGAGAUGAUGUGGUUGGGCUGGGUUUAAACAUGCCCUAGGAAAUGAAGGUUUUGGAUAGGUUUCACUGUCUUCUCUACGUGACUCAAAAGAAGAAAAGUUCAAGGAACAUGAGCUGGCAGGAAGAUCAUUUAGUCCUCCACGUGCUCUAAGUGAGCUGGCAGAGCAGCUCUGAUGGAGCCCUGGUUGAGGGCAUUCUCUAGGGCAUUCAGACACAUGACUAAUGACAGGCCAAGGGUGCAAAGCAACAGGCUGAGAGGUGUAGGCUUUUCAACACAGGCCCAGAAAUCCCAGAACCAUGGCCCUUCUUCCGAAAGAAUCUGAGGGCCAAAAUAGUCUGAAGCCACAGCUGACCAUCCAGAUGGCCUCCUCAAGGGAAUUAGAGCCUGUGAUGACCAAGCAAGGAUAUCGGGUCACCUGUCAGGCCAGCAUCAGGGGUCCAAUCAAGCAGUCUAGAGCUGCUGAGACAAAAGUCCUCAGAAGGAUGCAAAGUCUUCAGAGAGCCUGGGCAUAAAGGUCCUAAGACCACUUACCACCUGGUUUCUACCCCUGCUGUUGUCCAGUUAGCUCGGAAUGCUGAAGAUGGAAGAGGCACCGGAGACCCCCUAGCUCACCUCCCUCAUUGGUCUCAGAGAGGGAAAGAGGUUUAACCAACCUCAUCAAUCACAAUGCUGUGCUCAUGAUACCCAGCCCACUGCUCUGUCCUGUUGAACCCAACCACUAGGCACCAUCAUUUGCCUGCUUCUUUUCUUCCUCUCUGCACUUGCCUGGCCUGUCUGGUUUGCCAGUCUCCCAGUUUCUGCCACUUUCACAGGGAAUAUAGUUGCCAUUUUCCCUGGUCAAAUGAGAAACCCCUGCCCAUGACAACUUGGGCUACUCGAGCCCCAGAGCCUUGGAGUGAGAAGAGGGUAAAACACAGAAGUUGUCCUGUGUCCACAGAAGCGGAGAAAUUUUGGUUAAAAAACAACAGCAUACAACUCCACUGCAAAAGCAGCAGAGCAACAGCUCACAGCUGGACUUCCUUUUUUUAUUUAUUUAUUAUCUAUUUCAACUGAUCUUAUUUAAUGCAUCCUUUCUAUAGAAUACCUAGGCCAAUGGUAAAGGAAUUAGCUUUAUUUGGAAAAGGCGAAAGUGACUGGAACUGGCCCUUUUAGGAGGCUGAGGGGACUCAGAAAGCAGAUCCUACCUAGCAAGGCAAGAGGGACACCAGACCCAGUAGAGACCACUCAUUCAAAUAUUCACCAGACAGACACAUGGGCGUCAGCAGUGCAGCCUUGAAUGAAUGAACCUCCACCACCCAUCACCCUCUGGCUGGAGCUCCUUGAAGACAGACUGCACCAUACUCCCCUCUGCACUACUGUGCCUGGGUUUGUGAGAAGUGCUCACUAAAUGCUUUUGCUGGAGGAAUCAACCACACCGCCCUCCUGCGUGCUUACAUGCAUACAAACACAUGUAUACAUGUAAAUAGAAACCUCAUGUAGAUAGAAAUCUCAACAAAGACAGUCUUAAAAGCCCCAUUUAUAAACCUGUUUUCCAAAAAAUUAUUUUUUUUGGGUUUAGGGGUUUUCGUUUUGUUUUGUUUGGGGUUUUUUGUUUGUUUGUUUUUAGUGCCCAGAUUUUUAAAGUUUUAUUGAAGUGUAGUUGAUUCACAAUGUUGUG